AUCCAUCUGCUCUGGUGUGGAGACUUCCAUGGCCUGGUCCUGAGGAGACUGGAGGAGAGUCGGCCCUCCGCUCGGGAGGAGUGAGCUGCGCGGCCAGUCCCCUCCCGAAAACUUGACUGGGCUGAAAUGAUGGAAGAAGGACCGAAGGAGCCACAUACGUGAACCCCUGUGGGAAGAAACAUUGGAGGGAAGCACAGUGAGUGCUUUCUGGUGAAGACACCAAAAGAGUCCAAUGAGCAGAAGUUACCAGGAAAGCUUGAUUGGCACUCUCACUAAGCGUUGAGUCAUCAGGGCUGUCGACUGGCGUUUGACUGGUGAAUUUAGAGUCAAACUGACUCACGUCUUCAGCUGAUUGC
This is a long non-coding RNA of Hippocampus zosterae (dwarf seahorse), 356 nucleotides long. RefSeq lists it as uncharacterized. The record is from RefSeq and is a predicted model, not a curated record. NCBI's taxonomy places the organism in Eukaryota, Metazoa, Chordata, Actinopteri, Syngnathiformes, Syngnathidae. The transcript has 2 exons.